GCGCGGGUGGCGGGCAGCGGCGGCGGCGGGAGGGCCGCGGGGGCAGACAAAGCCGCGGCUAAUGAAUGGGAGCGCGUCCGCCUGCGCGUCCGUGGUCCGCAGACCGCGGGACCCGCCGCCGAGCCCUGCGCCCGCGGUCCCUGCCCCUCGGAGCUGUCGGAGAGGGACCGCCCAGAUGGGGAAGUGAGCUGUGGGCGGUGAAGAGCAGUGAUCAUGGUAAUGCAGGACCAUCAAGAUGGCGGCGAUCCUGUUUCCAAGGCAACAAGCAGGUCUGCACAGCAUGAAUUUGCACCUGCACCAAGAAGUACUUUAUACAACUCCUGGAAAGCGUGGUCUGCGCCCUGAGAUGAUGUGCUCCUGAGGACAAGCUUGCUCACUCAGAGGGCAGAGAACACAGUCCAAGGGAUGGACCUCGAGUGAUGGGCUGGCAGCGGUUCUUCGCGCUUGUUCACGUUGACUAUAGAACAGGUCCUGUGAGCAGUCAAACCCUGUGUUCCUGGGCUGCUGGCCAGGCUGCAGGAGACAGGCCCAGUGCUAACGGCUGGUGUUGCUCACAGCUGGUCCUGAUACCGAUGUUCCCUAUAGAGGAACGCAACUGGAAACGCGGCUGCUCUUGGCCAUCCCGCUGUAGCUCCUUCAGACCCGAGUGCCAACCUGUUCUCUUCCCUGCUGCAGCUGAUAGCUGGGCAGGAGGCCCUUCUCUGGUCACUCCUAAUAAAAAGCUC
Molecule: long non-coding RNA, 725 nt
Organism: Eptesicus fuscus (big brown bat)
Lineage: Eukaryota; Metazoa; Chordata; Mammalia; Chiroptera; Vespertilionidae
Exons: 4
Source: RefSeq, a predicted model, not a curated record